CAAUAGCGUAUACUAAUGUUGAUGCAGUUAAAAAGCUCGUAGUUGAACUUCUGGUAGGAGUGUCCCGGCCUUUUUGUUUUUACAAAUUGUAUGCUGUGUGACAUCUCUGGCCAUCCUUCUUCUUUGUUUAAAGAAGAUCUUUCACUGUAAAAAAAUUAGGGUGUUCAAAGCAAAAGUUUCUUUGGAAUAUAUUAGUAUGGGAUGAUAAGAUAGGCUCUAGAUGCUAUUUUGUUGGUUUGCACAUUUAGAGAAUGAUUAACAGGGACAGUUGGGGGUAUUCGUAUUUACAUGUCAGAGGUGAAAUUCUUGGAUUUUGGAAAGACGAACUACUGCGAAAGCAUUUACCAAGGAUGUUUUCAUUAA
Molecule: ribosomal RNA, 363 nt
Filed under: uncultured eukaryote
Lineage: Eukaryota
Description: partial 18S ribosomal RNA
Rfam family: Eukaryotic small subunit ribosomal RNA
Source: RNAcentral